AGAGUUUGAUCCUGGCUCAGAUUGAACGCUGGCGGCAUGGUUAAAGCAUGCAAGUCGAACGAGAAGCGGGCUUCGGCCCGUGGACAGUGGCGAAAGGGUGAGUAACGCGUUCCUUACGUACCCCAAGGUGGGGGAUAGGUCGGAGAAAUCCGGCGUAAUACCCCAUGUACUCUACGGAGAAAAGGCUUCGGCCGCCUUGGGAGCGGGGAGCGUCCCAUCAGGUAGUUGGUGAGGUAAAGGCUCACCAAGCCAAAGACGGGUAGCGGGUGUGAGAGCAUGGCCCGCCACAUCGGGACUGAGACACUGCCCGGACUCCUACGGGAGGCUGCAGCGACGAAUAUUCCGCAAUGCGCGAAAGCGUGACGGAGCAAUGCCGCGUGCAGGAUGAAGCGGCUUCGCCGUGUAAACUGCUGUCAGGGUGUAGGAAUACUGACCAUACCCAAAGGAAGGACCGGCUAACCUCGUGCCAGCAGCCGCGGUAAUACGAGGGGUCCAAGCGUUAAUCGGAAUCACUGGGCUUAAAGGGUACGUAGGCGGCCCUGUAAGCAUCUCGUGAAAUCCCACGGCUCAACCGUGGAAUUGCGGGGUGAACUACAGGGCUUGAGGCAGGUAGAGGUCGUCGGAACGAUCGGUGGAGCGGUGAAAUGCGUUGAUAUCGAUCGGAACGCCGAAGGAGAAGUCAGGCGACUGGGCCUGUCC
RNAcentral lists this ribosomal RNA (699 nucleotides) under uncultured bacterium. RNAcentral describes it as "bacterial SSU rRNA". It matches the Rfam family "Bacterial small subunit ribosomal RNA", at positions 8 to 740 of the family's 1533-position model. The record is from RNAcentral.